This 236-nucleotide long non-coding RNA is filed under the name Gallus gallus (chicken). Lineage: Eukaryota; Metazoa; Chordata; Aves; Galliformes; Phasianidae. The record is from RNAcentral.
CCCGCGCCCCCGGCCCGUCACCUUCCCUGCUCUGCCGCAGUGCCUCCCGCUCGCACUCUCUUGCCGUCCUGCAGCGUUUUCCAGCCCCGCCGCAGGACCAGCUGUCCGGUACCUGUGGCACUGCUCUCUGCACCUAGUCCACCCGCAGCCUCCCUCCUGUGGCUUCACGGCCCCACAACCUCGGGCUGCGGGCGGGGGCACGGCGAGAGCCGGCUGCCGCGCGUGGAGGGGUGCGG